AUUGAACGCUGGCGGCAUGCCUAACACAUGCAAGUCGAACGAGUGGCGGACGGGUGCGUAAUGUCUGGGAAACUGCCUGAUGGAGGGGGAUAACUCCUGGCAACGGUAGCUAAUACCGCAAACCAUCAGAUGUGCCCAGCUGGGAUUAGCUUGUUGGUGGGGUAACGGCUCACCAAGGCGUCGAUCCCUAGCUGGUCUGAGAGGAUGACCAGCCACACUGGAACUGAGACACGGUCCAGACUCCUACGGGAGGCAGCAGUGGGGAAUAUUGGACAAUGGGCGCAAGCCUGAUGCAGCCAUGCCGCGUGUGUGAAGAAGGGCUUCGGGUUGUAAAGUACUUUCAGCGGGGAGGCGUUACCCGAAGAAGAAGCACCGGCUAACUCCGUGCCAGCAGCCGCGGUAAUAC
RNAcentral lists this ribosomal RNA (406 nucleotides) under uncultured bacterium. RNAcentral describes it as "partial 16S ribosomal RNA". It matches the Rfam family "Bacterial small subunit ribosomal RNA", at positions 30 to 526 of the family's 1533-position model. The record is from RNAcentral.